RNAcentral lists this small RNA (108 nucleotides) under uncultured Anaerotignum sp. RNAcentral's name for it is "Ribosomal protein L10 leader". It matches the Rfam family "Ribosomal protein L10 leader", at positions 12 to 131 of the family's 138-position model. From Rfam's summary of the family: This family is a putative r-protein leader autoregulatory structure found in B. subtilis and other low-GC Gram-positive bacteria. It is located in the 5' untranslated regions of mRNAs encoding ribosomal proteins L10 and L12 (rplJ-rplL). A Rho-independent transcription terminator structure that is probably involved in regulation is included at the 3' end. Lineage: Bacteria; Bacillati; Bacillota; Clostridia; Lachnospirales; Anaerotignaceae. The record is from RNAcentral.
CGUAUAUUGCCGUAGACAGCAGGUGCCUUUUUGGCGUAAAUCCUGCCGAGGAAAACGCUUAUGUGAGCAACAAAGCCUCUUUGUCUAUGUGCAAAGAGGCUUUUUCAU